CCUACGGGCGGCAGCAGUGGGGAAUAUUGGACAAUGGGCGAAAGCCUGAUCCAGCCAUGCCGCGUGUGUGAAGAAGGCCUUCGGGUUGUAAAGCACUUUCAGUGGGGAAGAAAGCCUUGGGGCUAAUACCCUCGAGGAAGGACAUCACCCACAGAAGAAGCACCGGCUAACUCCGUGCCAGCAGCCGCGGUAAUACGGAGGGUGCGAGCGUUAAUCGGAAUUACUGGGCGUAAAGCGCGCGUAGGCGGUCUGAUAAGCCGGUUGUGAAAGCCCCGGGCUCAACCUGGGAACGGCAUCCGGAACUGUCAGGCUAGAGUGCAGGAGAGGGAGGUAGAAUUCCCGGUGUAGCGGUGAAAUGCGUAGAGAUCGGGAGGAAUACCAGUGGCGAAGGCGGCCUUCUGGACUGACACUGACGCUGAGGUGCGAAAGCGUGGGUAGCAAACAGGAUUAGAUACCCGAGUAGUC
RNAcentral lists this ribosomal RNA (465 nucleotides) under Vreelandella stevensii. RNAcentral describes it as "partial 16S ribosomal RNA". It matches the Rfam family "Bacterial small subunit ribosomal RNA", at positions 338 to 795 of the family's 1533-position model. Lineage: Bacteria; Pseudomonadati; Pseudomonadota; Gammaproteobacteria; Oceanospirillales; Halomonadaceae. The record is from RNAcentral.